Molecule: ribosomal RNA, 254 nt
Filed under: uncultured bacterium
Lineage: Bacteria
Description: partial 16S ribosomal RNA
Rfam family: Bacterial small subunit ribosomal RNA
Source: RNAcentral
UACGGGGGGAGCAAGCGUUGUUCGGAUUUACUGGGCGUAAAGGGCGCGUAGGCGGUCGUGACAAGUCACUUGUGAAAUCUCUGGGCUUAACCCGGAGCGGCCAAGUGAUACUGUCGUGCUAGAGUGCGGAAGGGGCUACUGGAAUUCUCGGUGUAGCGGUGAAAUGCGUAGAUAUCGAGAGGAACACCUGCGGCGAAGGCGGGUAGCUGGGCCGACACUGACGCUGAGGCGCGAAAGCCAGGGGAGCGAACGGG